RNAcentral lists this ribosomal RNA (253 nucleotides) under uncultured bacterium. Its description in RNAcentral is "partial 16S ribosomal RNA". It matches the Rfam family "Bacterial small subunit ribosomal RNA", at positions 524 to 776 of the family's 1533-position model. The record is from RNAcentral.
UACGAAGGGGGCUAGCGUUGUUCGGAUUUACUGGGCGUAAAGCGCACGUAGGCGGAUUGUUAAGUCAGGGGUGAAAUCCUGGAGCUCAACUCCAGAACUGCCUUUGAUACUGGCAAUCUUGAGUCCGGAAGAGGCGAGUGGAACUCCUAGUGUAGAGGUGGAAUUCGUAGAUAUUAGGAAGAACACCAGUGGCGAAGGCGGCUCACUGGUCCGGUACUGACGCUGAGGUGCGAAAGCGUGGGGAGCAAACAGG